This 274-nucleotide ribosomal RNA is filed under the name uncultured bacterium. Its description in RNAcentral is "partial 16S ribosomal RNA". It matches the Rfam family "Bacterial small subunit ribosomal RNA", at positions 523 to 796 of the family's 1533-position model. The record is from RNAcentral.
AUACGGAGGGUGCAAGCGUUAAUCGGAAUUACUGGGCGUAAAGCGCGCGUAGGCGGUUAUUUAAGUCAGAUGUGAAAUCCCUGGGCUCAACCUAGGAACUGCAUCUGAUACUGGGUAACUAGAGUUUUGGAGAGGUAAGUGGAAUUUCCGGUGUAGCGGUGAAAUGCAUAGAGAUCGGAAGGAACACCAGUGGCGAAGGCGACUUACUGGCCAAAAACUGACGCUGAGGUGCGAAAGCGUGGGUAGCGAACAGGAUUAGAAACCCCAGUAGUCC